RNAcentral lists this ribosomal RNA (478 nucleotides) under uncultured bacterium. RNAcentral's name for it is "partial 16S ribosomal RNA". It matches the Rfam family "Bacterial small subunit ribosomal RNA", at positions 28 to 523 of the family's 1533-position model. The record is from RNAcentral.
GACGAACGCUGGCGGCGUGCUUAACACAUGCAAGUCGAACGGUAAGGCCCUUCGGGGUAUACGAGUGGCGAACGGGUGAGCAACACGAGGGUGUUCUGCCCUGCACUUCGGGAUAUGCCUGGGAAACUGGGUCUAAUACCGGAUGUGACUCCGGACCGUAUGGGCUGUGGUGGCAAGACUUUGCGGUGUGGGAUGGGCCCGCGGCCUAGCAGCUGGUUGGUGGGGUGCUGGCCUACCAAGGCGACGACGGGUAGCCGGCCUGAGAGGGUGACCGGCCACACUGGGACUGAGAUACGGCCCAGACUCCUACGGGAGGCAGCAGUGGGGAAUAUUGCACAAUGGGCGCAAGCCUGAUGCAGCGACGCCGCGUGAGGGAUGACGGCCUUCGGGUUGUAAACCUCUUUCAGCAUCGACGAAGCGAAAGUGACGGUAGGUGCAGAAGAAGGACCGGCCAACUACGUGCCAGCCGCCGCCGUAA